RNAcentral lists this ribosomal RNA (1506 nucleotides) under uncultured prokaryote. Its description in RNAcentral is "partial 16S ribosomal RNA". It matches the Rfam family "Bacterial small subunit ribosomal RNA". The record is from RNAcentral.
GAGUUUGAUCCUGGCUCAGAACGAACGCUGGCGGCAGGCUUCAUACAUGCAAGUCGAACGGUUAAAGCUCCUUCGGGAGUGUAUAAAGUGGCGAACGGGUGAGUAACAGGUGGAUAAUCUGCCUUGCGGCGGGGGGCAACGGUUGGAAACGGCUGCUAAUACCGCAUACGAUUGUCGGGCCGCGACAUACGACAAAGAAAGGCGCUUCGGCGUCGCCGCAAGAUGAGUCCGCCUCCCAUUAGCUUGUUGGUGAGGUAAAAGCUCACCAAGACUACGAUGGGUAGCCGAACUGAGAGGUUGAUCGGCCACACUGGAACUGAGACACGGUCCAGACACCUACGGGUGGCAGCAGUAGGGAAUAUUGCGCAAUGGGCGAAAGCUUGACGCAGCCAUGCCGCGUGGAUGAUGAAGGCCUUCGGGGUCGUAAAGUCCUUUUCUGAGGAAAGAACAUCCAAGGGAGGUAAUGCCCUUGGCUUGACGGUACCUCAGGAAUAAGCAACGGCUAACUCCGUGCCAGCAGCCGCGGUAAUACGGAGGUUGCAAGCGUUGUUCGGAAUAACUGGGCGUAAAGGGAGCGCAGGCGGCCAAGUCAGUCUGAAGUGAAAGUCCGGGGCUCAACCUCGGAAGUGCUUUGGAUACUGCCUGUCUUGAGUUCGUGAGAGGAAAGGGGAAUUCAGGGUGUAGCGGUAAAAUGCUUAGAUAUCCUGAGGAACACCAGUGGCGAAAGCGACUUUCUGGCACGAAACUGACGCUGAGGCUCGAAAGCGUGGGUAGCGAACGGGAUUAGAAUCCCCCGGUAGUCCACGCCGUAAACGUUGUGUACUAGGUGCAGGAGGUAUCGACCCCUUCUGUGCCGCAGCUAACGCAUUAAGUAUACCGCCUGGGGAGUAUGCGCGCAAGCGUGAAACUCAAAGGAAUUGAUGGGGGCCCGCACAAGCGGUGGAGCAUGUGGUUUAAUUCGAGGCAACGCGAAGAACCUUACCCAGACUUGACAUCCCGUGACAACCAAUGAAAGUAGGCUGUGCCCGCAAGGGAAUCUGUUCACAGGUGCUGCAUGGCUGUCGUCAGCUCGUGUUGUGAGAUGUUGGGUUAAGUCCCGCAACGAGCGCAACCCCUAUCCUUAGUUACCAGCGGUUCGGCCGGGCACUCUAGGGAGACUGCCGGUGAUAAGCCGGAGGAAGGUGGGGACGACGUCAAGUCAUCAUGGCCCUUAUGUCCAGGGCGACACACGUGCUACAAUGGCCAGUACAGAGGGUAGCCAACCCGCGAGGGGGAGCCAAUCCCAGAAAGCUGGUCCCAGUUCGGAUUGGAGUCUGCAACCCGACUCCAUGAAGGUGGAAUCGCUAGUAAUCGCGCAUCAGCCAUGGCGCGGUGAAUACGUUCCCGGACCUUGUACACACCGCCCGUCAAGCCAUGGGAGCUGAGGGUACCUAAAGAUGGUGACUUUACGGGGAGCUAUCUAAGGUAAAACCAGUGACUGGGGGUAAGUCGUAACAAGGUAGCCGU